GACGAACGCUGGCGGCGUGCCUAAUACAUGCAAGUUGAGCGCUGAAGGUUGGUACUUGUACCAACUGGAUUAGCAGCGAACGGGUGGGUAACGCGUGGGGAAGCUGCCAUUUAGCGGGGGACAACAUUUGGAAACGAAUGCUAAUACCGCAUAAAAACUUCAAACACAAGAUUCAAGUUUGAUACAUGCAAUUGCAUCACUCAAAGAUCAUCCCGCGUUGUAUUAGCUAGUUGGGUAGGUAAAGGCCCAACAAGGCGAUGGUACAUAGUCGACCUGAGAGGGUGAUCGGGCAAAACGGGAACGGGACAAGGCCCAAACUCCUACGGGAGGGCGCAGGAGGGAAUUAUCGGAAAUUGAGGACAGUCUUAACGAGGAAAGACGGGGGAGUGAAGAAGGUUUUCGGAUCGUAAAACUCUGUUGGUAGAGAAGAAAGUUGGUGAGAGUGGAACGCUCAUCAAGUGACGGUACCUAAAGAGAAAGCGACGGCUAACUACGUG
Molecule: ribosomal RNA, 497 nt
Filed under: uncultured bacterium
Lineage: Bacteria
Description: partial 16S ribosomal RNA
Rfam family: Bacterial small subunit ribosomal RNA
Source: RNAcentral